RNAcentral lists this ribosomal RNA (339 nucleotides) under Triticum aestivum (bread wheat). RNAcentral describes it as "partial small subunit ribosomal RNA". Lineage: Eukaryota; Viridiplantae; Streptophyta; Magnoliopsida; Poales; Poaceae. The record is from RNAcentral.
AUGGUUCCAUUUACUCCUCCCCACAGUUACUCGCACAACCCACCCCGCAGUUCAGUCGAUCGGAGGAGAAGGCGAGAGGAGAAGGCGACGGCAGAGGCGGAAGAGUCGACGGCAUUCGCGGCCGUCAGUGGGGCUCGCCGGACCGGAGCGUCUUCGUCGGAGCGCCUGCGGGUUGAAGGCAGGGUCGACAUGCACCGGUGUUCCCGCCGGCGGCGGAGUCCUGUGCUUGCCGUUUUCGGUGGCACUGGGCAAUUUCGUCGCCGCCGUGGUGGCGGUCACGCCGAAGAAGAAACGUACUCGCAACAGGGCCUCGCAGGAACGACUGACCUCAUUGACUGA